This 253-nucleotide ribosomal RNA is filed under the name uncultured bacterium. RNAcentral describes it as "partial 16S ribosomal RNA". It matches the Rfam family "Bacterial small subunit ribosomal RNA", at positions 524 to 776 of the family's 1533-position model. The record is from RNAcentral.
UACGAAGGGGGCUAGCGUUGUUCGGAAUUACUGGGCGUAAAGCGCGCGCAGGCGGCUAUCCAAGUCAGUGGUGAAAGCCCGGAGCUCAACUCCGGAACUGCCAUUGAAACUGUUUAGCUUGAGGAUGAGAGAGGUGAGUGGAAUUCCCAGUGUAGAGGUGAAAUUCGUAGAUAUUGGGAAGAACACCGGUGGCGAAGGCAGCUCACUGGCUCAUUACUGACGCUCAGGCGCGAUAGCGUGGGGAUCAAACAGG